CCUCUCAUCCCCCUCCUCCCUCUCCUCCUUCCCCCUCCUCCUCCUUCUCUCCUCCCCCUCCCCUCUCCUUCCUCUCCUCCCCCUCCUCCCCAUCCUCCUCUUCCUCUUCCUCCACCAUCCCCCAGCAUUAACAUCCCUCACUGUAAGAAAACCAAACAGACAAAAUGCCAUCCUUGCAAUGAAGGUGAAAGGCCACGGUCUACAAGAAGUCCUAAGAUGAACUGAAAAAUUCUGAGCGGAGACUCGAUUGCAUCAGAUAGUUCAGAGGCACAAAACUAAGGGGGCGGCCGAAAGCCAGGAUGCUCUACGCCAAACUAAGAAAAUAAUCACCAGCACAGCGUGUUUUCCAAUCCGCCAAGUUCUGCUGUGUCAUCUGUGAAAU
RNAcentral lists this long non-coding RNA (382 nucleotides) under Homo sapiens (human). RNAcentral's name for it is "non-protein coding lnc-SNAPC2-5:1". The record is from RNAcentral. Lineage: Eukaryota; Metazoa; Chordata; Mammalia; Primates; Hominidae.